RNAcentral lists this ribosomal RNA (330 nucleotides) under uncultured bacterium. Its description in RNAcentral is "bacterial SSU rRNA". It matches the Rfam family "Bacterial small subunit ribosomal RNA", at positions 8 to 334 of the family's 1533-position model. The record is from RNAcentral.
AGGGUUUGAUUCUGGCUCAGGAUGAACGCUAGCUACAGGCUUAACACAUGCAAGUCGAGGGGCAUCAGGAUGUAGCAAUACAUUGCUGGCGACCGGCGCACGGGUGAGUAACACGUAUCCAACCUACCGAUUAUUCCGGGAUAGCCUUUCGAAAGAAAGAUUAAUACUGGAUAGUAUAACGAGAAGGCAUCUUUUUGUUAUUAAAGAAUUUCGAUAAUCGAUGGGGAUGCGUUCCAUUAGUUUGUUGGCGGGGUAACGGCCCACCAAGACUUCGAUGGAUAGGGGUUCUGAGAGGAAGGUCCCCCACAUUGGAACUGAGACACGGUCCAA